This 68-nucleotide transfer RNA is filed under the name Marmota monax (woodchuck). RNAcentral describes it as "tRNA.Ala". The stretch from base 5 to 65 matches the Rfam family "tRNA", at positions 6 to 65 of the family's 71-position model. From Rfam's summary of the family: Transfer RNA (tRNA) molecules are approximately 80 nucleotides in length. Their secondary structure includes four short double-helical elements and three loops (D, anti-codon, and T loops). The record is from RNAcentral. Lineage: Eukaryota; Metazoa; Chordata; Mammalia; Rodentia; Sciuridae.
GGAUUGUGGCUCAGUGGUAGAGUGCAUGCCUCGCACGUUUGAUGCACUGGGUUCAAUCCUCAGCAUCA